This 5440-nucleotide long non-coding RNA is filed under the name Podarcis lilfordi (Lilford's wall lizard). The record is from RNAcentral. Lineage: Eukaryota; Metazoa; Chordata; Lepidosauria; Squamata; Lacertidae.
AAGUCAAUUGCAGAACUGAAGAGAGAGUGACAGAGGCAAUAAAAAUGGACAGAUGUAUAGGGAGAGGGAGAUUUUGCUUCUUGGCAUAACCCCCCCCUCCAAAUGCAUGGAAUUUGCUGUAAUUGGAAUGUGUAAGUGGAAUUUGUUGUAAUUGGCUCGGGUAUAAAUGUACCAUUUAAAUUAAAUAGUGAAUGCUAUUAAAAAGAGAAACACAAACCGAUUUCUAGCAUGUAUCAUACUAUGUUUUGUUUGGUUUUCUUUCUUUCUUUGACUCCAUUUAAAUACACUUUUACACUAUUACUAGUGAUUUUAUAUAAAUCUUAAAUAUUUGAUAUGGUGUAUUUUUUCAAGUGUGCUAUGAAUGUAAAUUUAGCCUGUUACCAGAAUCACAGGUUUGGACAGGGUCAUGCUUUCUUUGUUAUUUAUUAUUUUAAUUAAUGAGGACAUUACAAUUCAGUAGAAUUUUAAUUAUUGAAAAACUUCAAGUUAGUCCUAGGAGCUUAAGAAAAAGCAACAAAAGUUAAUGAGGACAAAGUCAGUGACCAGCUAACACCCCCCAAAAUACAGAAGGUAGGACAUAUAACACUUAAAUUGAUUUUGGGGGAUUCCCUUCCAAAUCAUGCACAAAAGAGUUACUGACUUCUUGUAAUAACGAGUCCCAACAACUAUUUAGCCAAAUCCCCCAGAGUUGCAGUAAAAAAAGAAAAUCAUUUGGGUAGAGAGGAAGGACCAAUGGGAGUGUCUCCCUCCAAAACAGCCCAAUGGGGUACUGAGCAUUUUCAGUUGCCGCAGAAUGUUAAUUAUUUGUUGGGGAAAACAGAAAAUGGGGGAGCAAAUAGAAUGAAGUCUGCUGGAAGUGGGCACUGCUGGGCUGGAACCUAAACAGGAAUACUCCAUGCUGCAAGAUUUUGUUACAGGUCUCACUUGUUUUCGUUGUUAUUUUGCCUUCUGCAGUUGAGUCUUUCAGCUGUUUUUUGCUCUGGGAUCAAACAGCUGUCAGUGUUGUUAAUGACAUCAGAUUUUCUCCAUUAAAAUCUUUCAAUUAAAAAAAAAAGUGGCUGUGGAAAGCUCUUCCACAUCCCCCUUUUGUGAAGCAAUGAAAAAUCCAACGAAAGAUAGCAGCACUUAUUACAAAACCACAGACCGGAGCUUCUGUUGAUGGAAUCUCAUAAUGAGUAAUUAAGCUACUUUGCAGAAGUCAAGGCUGUCAUGCUUAUAACUGGGGGUAUUUCCAUUCUCCUGUGGAUGCAGCCAGGAAGAUGCACUGGGAAGGUGAUAAAGGAAGGAUAGGUAGACAGGAUUGUUCUAGAAAUAGCAUUGUUCUUCUGAAGCACGCAGGAUUCUCUCCCCCCCCCCACCUCCCUCAAAGUUGCAGCUUAAAAAUUAGCCUAGAGAAAUAACCUUCUCUGUGGUGUGAAAGGCACUUUCUAAAAACAUUCAUAGUGUAUCUCUGGAUAAACUUGAGAAAUGGCAAGCUGUGAGGGUUUGUUUUCCCCUCUAGCUGUGCUUCCUUAUCUCUCAAGGGAACAACAGAGACCAGGAUUUUUUGAAGCCUGGAGCUAAAACUGGAUGUAACAUGGUCUGUUUAGAAGUGGCUUCUAAAUGUAUUAGUAUCUAUUAUUUAUUAUGUUAUUUAUUUACAUCCUGCCUUUACCCUAGAACUGGGAUGCAAGGCAGCUCACAAGCAUUACAACAAACACAGGUAUAGCACAGAAAAUUUAAAACAUAUUUUUAAAACAGUUUAAAAUGUAAUUAAACGAUAACAGAGUUAAAAUGAUAUUUAAAAAAUCUAGUAAACAAAUCAAGUUAAAAUAGCACAACACUAUUAAAAGCCCUUCCUUAAAAGCAGUCAUAAAGCAGCCUUCCCCUGCUGAUGGAAGGACAACAAGGAGGGAGCCAGACUCGCCUCUCUAGGAAGGGAGUGCCAAAAUCUGGCAGCAACCACUGAGAAUGCCCAUCUGUCCCAGCCACAUUCAUGUCAAAAGCAGGAUACACCAGGUCCAAUUCUAUGAGUGAAAGGGACAGGAGGCAGUCCUGUCAUUGAGAACCAGGUGCCACACUUUUUGUGAGAUCAGAAGCACCUUCUCAGACAGAAUGCACAUGUCUGCAUGCAGCAGACUUGUAGGAUGAGAGAGUCCUGCAAGUGAGCUCACCCGCCUCAUUUUUAAAAGCUUGAUGGGAGGAAUGUCAACUGUUGGAGCAGCUUCAUGGCUACUGUUUGUUUGUGAACCCCUGCCAGGAGUGCCAACUUGGCCCUGUCACCAUGGGUGCCUGGGGCCGUGGGCGCCAUGCAACGUGCAUGGCCCUGGCACUGAAAUUUGUGGGUGCUUGGCCCCUUCAUGGGGAAUUGUGUAGGUGCUUCCCCAGUUCCUCAGGCUAUGAAUCUGGAUUGUUGGGUUGGCCAGCUGUAAGGAGUAGACUGCCUUUGGUCUCUGGUGUGACUAGGGGAGAGGAUGUUCAUUAAUGUCAGGCUUUGGGGAAUUGGCUUCCUCCCCCAUGGCCGUAAAUAAGCAGAUCAAACGAAAUGAAUUCUUACCAGUUAGUUUCUUUAAUAAACACAGCGAAGGACAAAAGAAAACAUCAACACAAAAUGGUGGUGUUCCCAAUUAAGCUUACACCCCUUCCAUCCCUAUUAAUCUAUACCACUCCUACGUCUUGUAAUCUGAGUUUGUAUCCUCUGUGCUUUCUGUUCUGAGACUUUCUGAGCUCUUUCUUGACCUUGGGCUGAGUGGAGGAAUGCUGUCCAGAGACUGUGAGUCUCUCUUCAGUAUUUCUUCUCCUAGCUGUUCCCCAUCCAGUAUUUCCCAGCUUCUGCCUUCUGAACUAUGCUCCUCUGCAAACCACUGUUCCAAAUCUAUACUGUCCUCCUGCUUCUGGGAAGAUUCAGGAGCAGGGGGAGGGAGUGGCUCCCACUAUUCCUCCUCAGUGCAUCCCUCCUUAGCACAGUCCCUGACAUCCAUCAGCAUUUCAAAAAAUGUUACAAGUUCGGUCUUCCAGCUUCAGCUUUAAUUCCCACAACUGCAUUGACAUAGUGAGUAGAGUUUAGUGGCAUAAUGAUCAUGUUCACUAUCUGCACAGCUUAUAAGAAUUUAAGAAGAUAGAGCCAGUAUCCAAUCUAGUCCAGCAUUCAGUUCUCACAGUGGCCAACCAUCUGACUCUGGGAAGCCCACAAGCAGGACCUGUGCACAGCAGUGCUCUCCCUUCCUGCAGUUUCCAGCAACUGGUAAUCAGAAAUAUAUUGCCUCUGACCAUGAAAACAGUGCAUAGCCCUCGUGACUUCCAUGCAACAAGGGAACAAUUGUAUGUACCUUCAGAAAUAUAUACACAAUGUACUCUGUGUUUAAAACACACAUGCAUGGACUUCCGCGUUGGCGCCACCGGCAAUGGCGGAAUUCCUCUGAUCGGGAGGAAUUUGCCUCGUGGAAAUUCGGGUCUGGCCGCCACGGCGAAGGCGGAGACCCACUAAAAAUCACAGGCGGGUGAAGCCUGUGAACGUGGGAUUCGGCGGGCACCUUUUGCGCCUCCCCUACUCGCGGGAAACCCGGUUUCGGGGAUCCGGAGCGACGUGGGGUGAGCGGUGCGGUGCUUCGGAUCGACUGCUUCGUCCACGGAGCGAAGCCGCAUAGCUGUUGCUGGAGAGGGCUGACUUUUUCCUGUGGACAAUUUGAUCUUAAAGCAACUACCCGUGAGUAGAGUGAAGAAUUGGAUUUUUAAACGUUUUAAUUUGGCACCGAAACGGGGAGGCUCAAAACAGGAAGUCCACCUCCCCCUUUUGUAAAUAAGACUGAGGCAAAGAGGUUGCAAGCUAAAGUCUUGGAAAGCCUAUUGUAAAGGACUAAAUUCUCAUCAGUAAAAAAUAUUAACCCCCCCCUUGGAAGCAGGAGAAGAGGGGGGAGGCUUUGGAUUGUGUAUCCCUGCAGGAGUGAGUGAAGGAAGUUAAAAUACAACCGUUCCGAACCUGGAAACGGGCUGCUAGUAAGAUCGACGUGACUUGGAAGGUUCAUUGACAGCGAAUAGAACGUUCGGUGACAGCUAGCAUAAGAGAGAUACAUUGUUUCCAUUGUCUUCAUCUGCACUUAAAAAGGAGUAAAAGUAACGGAAAAUUGAAACAACUUUAUUGAACUUUAUUAAAAAAGGAGGAAAGUAACUGAAAAUUGAAACUAACUUUGGAUUAAUGAAACUGUGUUUAAAAGAGGACAUACUGACCGAUACAAAUACAACUCGCUUUCCCCUAGUGGAAGCUUUUGAAAUUGGUUACUUUAUAGGAGCUGGGCUAGGGAAAUUUCCAGCUGCAAGAUAAAAAAGUGUGAGACUUUGGAAUUGACCUUGAACCUCUUAAGUGUUAUGGUAAAUGGAAAGGAAAAAACAGACGGGAUGUCGACAGAGGAGGCCUUAGUGGCUGCAUUAUUGAAAAUAAACGAUUCGCUGGAACAACUCCACAAGAAAACAGAUGCGAUAAAUGUGAAAUUGGAUGUUGCAAAUAUUGAAAUUGAUUCAACUGUAGAAAGUUUAAAUAACUUGGGACAAAAGGUGAAUACCAAUUCAGAAACCACCCAGAAACUGACACAGGAAUCUACUUCGAUAUGGCAAACUGCAGAUGAAGUCAGGGGAAAAACCCUUGCUGCUGAAUCAGUAAUACAACAGGAGAGGAGAGUCCCAUCCAUACAAAGACAACUUGACGAACAUAAGUUGACAUUCGUUAUGAUUGAACUUAAAGAAGAACGGAUGAAUUUGAGGACCAGAGCCCUAUCUUAAUUGGAAAAGGAAAGCUUGACAGAGUUUCAGGAGGCGAUACUAACACUGGUUGAGAAAGAGAGGUAUUUGGGGGUUAGUAUGACCGCCAAAAAUGUGAAUCUGCUUAAGGAUAACUGUGAAGGAUGUUGGAUUGAAGAGAAGGGGGAUUUGGAAAUAUGGACAAGUCAGAAGUUGUUACUGUUGGGCCGAGUUAUUGUGGUGGGGAUGAGGGCUGCUGUGUUGCUGAGGAUGUUGCUUUUGUUUCAAACAUUGCAAGCUUUGGAUGGGAUGGAGGGUUUCAGGAGGUGGCAGAGGGAUGCUCCUAGAGUUGUUUGGCAGGGCAGGAAGCCUCGAGUAAAAUUUAAGAUAUUGAUGGAUGCCAAAGAAGGAGGUGGACCUGCCCUGCCAGACCUUUAAACUUUGCUGUGAAACCAUCUGCUUUUUGCUGGUUGAGAGAAUGGUUGCUUUUUGAAAACACUGAAGCGUUGGACAAGGGCAGAUGAAGUUGAUGGACUAUAUGGAAUUGGCGGAAAUGACUGGCAAGAUCCGAGACCAGGGUGAAGAGUCGGUGGAAGAAGAUUGGAAAAAGUUUAAAGACUAUUUAUAGAAAUAUUGUAAAAUUAAAGAAUGUUAGAAAAAUGUUGGAAUGAAAUUAUAUGGCUUUAGCAGAAAUGUCAUAAGGAAUUAAGUAUAAAUAGAUUAAUAG